GACGAACGCUGGCGGCGUGCUUAACACAUGCAAGUCGAACGGACAGGCCCUGCUUUUGUGGGGUGCUCGAGUGGCGAACGGGUGAGUAACACGUGUGUAACCUGCCCCUGUCUUUGGGAUAACUUCAGGAAACUGGGGCUAAUAUACCAUAGGAGCUCCUGCUGCAUGGUGGUGAUUGGAAAGAUUCGGCUGUUGGGGAUGGACUCGCGGCUUAUCAGCUUGUUGGUGUGGUUGUGGCUUACCAAGGCUGUGACGGGUAGCCGGCCUGAGCGGGUGACCGGCCACAUUGGGACUGCGGUACGGCCCAGACUCCUACGUGAGGCAGCAGUGGGGAAUAUUGCACAAUGGGCGGAAGCCUGAUGCAGCAACGCCGCGUGCGGGAUAACGGCCUUCGGGUUGUAAACCGAUUUCGCCUGUGACGAAGCGUGAGUGACGGUAAUGGGUAAAGAAGCACCGGCUAACUACGUG
RNAcentral lists this ribosomal RNA (468 nucleotides) under uncultured bacterium. Its description in RNAcentral is "partial 16S ribosomal RNA". It matches the Rfam family "Bacterial small subunit ribosomal RNA", at positions 28 to 507 of the family's 1533-position model. The record is from RNAcentral.